GUAAACAUUUAGGGGGAUGGCAUCCACAUCUGCCAGGAGUGGGGACAAAAAGGACAUCAGGUCAUCUCAAGCUGCCGCCUCCUUAGGUGGAGGGCAGAAAGUCUCAUUAUCCUGCUCUGAAGAAUUCCUGACCCGAAUCAGCACAGAACUUACAGACGAAGCACUGUUUAUUGCUCGCUCCCGUUUGAGUCCUCUGCCCAAUAAGGAAAAGAACACAAAAGACCAAGGGACUCAGAUAUCUAGACAUGUGUUCUUCACUAAGACCCGAGGCACUGACACCCGCUCUGACAAAAAUCGAACCCGAACCAAGGCACACCUUCUGCCUUCUCCUCGUGAAAAGGGACCACUCCCCAACAGCCUGACAACUGGAGGAUGAGCUUGGCCCUCCCUAAUACUGCUCUCUCAGCUUCUUGCCUUCCCCCACUAUGUCCCUCAGUGAAAACCUCAAAGCCCCUCUUUUGCAACUGGCUACGCCUCUCAUCUUGGGAGGAAUGCCUGGUCAUAAGCAAUGCCACCUUUGAAACCAAGAAAAUCUUCUGGAACUGUUGCGGGGCCCUCCACCCUCCAUGGGCAAACGCUACUGAGAAGAAAAUGUUUCAAUAAAGAACCAGGAUCCUCUCUUC
Molecule: long non-coding RNA, 623 nt
Filed under: Mus caroli (Ryukyu mouse)
Lineage: Eukaryota; Metazoa; Chordata; Mammalia; Rodentia; Muridae
Description: lncRNA (MGP_CAROLIEiJ_G0006624.1)
Source: RNAcentral